Molecule: unclassified non-coding RNA, 255 nt
Filed under: plant metagenome
Description: partial contains small subunit ribosomal RNA, internal transcribed spacer 1, and 5.8S ribosomal RNA
Rfam family: 5.8S ribosomal RNA (bases 208-255)
Source: RNAcentral
UUUCCGUAGGUGAACCUGCGGAAGGAUCAUUACUGAGUGAGGGCCCCGCGGGGUCCAACCUCCCACCCGUGUUUAACGAACCUUGUUGCUUCGGCGGGCCCGCCUCACGGCCGCCGGGGGGCAUCUGCCCCCGGGCCCGCGCCCGCCGAAGCCACCUGUGAACGCUGUCUGAAGUAUGCAGUCUGAGACAAUUAUUAAAUUAAUUAAAACUUUCAACAACGGAUCUCUUGGUUCCGGCAUCGAUGAAGACGCAGC